GUGGGGAAUUUUGGACAAUGGGCGCAAGCCUGAUCCAGCAAUGCCGCGUGCAGGAAGAAGGCCUUCGGGUUGUAAACUGCUUUUGUACGGAACGAAACGGUCCUGGUUAAUACCUGGGGCUAAUGACGGUACCGUAAGAAUAAGCACCGGCUAACUACGUGCCAGCAGCCGCGGUAAUACGUAGGGUGCGAGCGUUAAUCGGAAUUACUGGGCGUAAAGCGUGCGCAGGCGGUGCUGUAAGACAGGCGUGAAAUCCCCGGGCUCAACCUGGGAAUUGCGCUUGUGACUGCAGUGCUGGAGUACGGCAGAGGGGGAUGGAAUUCCGCGUGUAGCAGUGAAAUGCGUAGAUAUGCGGAGGAACACCGAUGGCGAAGGCAGUCCCCUGGGCCUGUACUGACGCUCAGACCCGAAAGCGUGGGGAUCAAACAGGAUUAGAAACCCCUGUAGUCC
RNAcentral lists this ribosomal RNA (450 nucleotides) under uncultured bacterium. Its description in RNAcentral is "bacterial SSU rRNA". It matches the Rfam family "Bacterial small subunit ribosomal RNA", at positions 354 to 796 of the family's 1533-position model. The record is from RNAcentral.